This 256-nucleotide ribosomal RNA is filed under the name uncultured bacterium. RNAcentral describes it as "partial 16S ribosomal RNA". It matches the Rfam family "Bacterial small subunit ribosomal RNA", at positions 524 to 776 of the family's 1533-position model. The record is from RNAcentral.
UACGGAGGGUGCGAGCGUUGUCCGGAAUCAUUGGGCGUAAAGGGCGCGUAGGUGGCCCGGUCAGUCUUUGGUGAAAGCGCGGGGCUCAACCCUGCGUCGGCCAGGGAUACUGCCGCGGCUGGAGCACUGUAGAGGCAGGCGGAAUUCCGGGUGUAGCGGUGGAAUGCGUGGAGAUCCGGAAGAACACCGGUGGCGAAGGCGGCCUGCUGGGCAGUUUUGCUGACACUGAGGCGCGACAGCGUGGGGAGCAAACAGG